CGCUGUAGCGUGCAGCCUACACCCGGCCGUCUCGGCAAUUUUCUCCGGCCUGCCGGUAGAGACUGACCGAAGCCGAGACGAGUAGGAGGGUCGCCGCGGUCAGCGCUGAAGCCUUAGACGCGAGUCUGGGUGUAGCGGCCGCGGGUGCCGAUCUUGGUGGUAGUAGCAAAUAUUCG
RNAcentral lists this ribosomal RNA (176 nucleotides) under Lottia scutum. RNAcentral describes it as "partial 28S ribosomal RNA". It matches the Rfam family "Eukaryotic large subunit ribosomal RNA", at positions 1326 to 1473 of the family's 3401-position model. Lineage: Eukaryota; Metazoa; Mollusca; Gastropoda; Lottiidae. The record is from RNAcentral.